This 253-nucleotide ribosomal RNA is filed under the name uncultured bacterium. Its description in RNAcentral is "partial 16S ribosomal RNA". It matches the Rfam family "Bacterial small subunit ribosomal RNA", at positions 524 to 776 of the family's 1533-position model. The record is from RNAcentral.
UACGGAGGGGGCUAGCGUUGUUCGGAAUUACUGGGCGUAAAGCGCACGUAGGCGGCUUUGUAAGUUAGAGGUGAAAGCCCGGGGCUCAACUCCGGAAUUGCCUUUAAGACUGCAUCGCUAGAAUUGUGGAGAGGUAAGUGGAAUUCCGAGUGUAGAGGUGAAAUUCGUAGAUAUUCGGAAGAACCCCAGUGGCGAAGGCGGCUCACUGGCCCGGUUCUGACGCUGAGGUGCGAAAGCGUGGGGAGCAAACAGG